Molecule: transfer RNA, 72 nt
Filed under: Planctomycetota bacterium
Lineage: Bacteria; Pseudomonadati; Planctomycetota
Description: Planctomycetes bacterium tRNA-Thr
Rfam family: tRNA
About the family: Transfer RNA (tRNA) molecules are approximately 80 nucleotides in length. Their secondary structure includes four short double-helical elements and three loops (D, anti-codon, and T loops).
Source: RNAcentral
GCCGAUGUAGCUCAACGGUAGAGCACGGCUUUCGUAAAGCCGGGGUUGUGGGUUCGAUUCCCACCAUCGGCU